ACAGCUAUAAAAAGAGGUUCAUCAAGGAAAGUUACCCACCUGGCUUUCUCUCAUUCAGAUAUGCAUAAAAGGAAAACUCAAAAUACAAGAAUCCCAAGUUCCCCUGCUUUGAUGUCCAGCUUCAGCCGACACUGGAGUCUUUUGCUCGACAUGGUCUUACCAUCAUUCUUUAACUCUUCAUUGUUUCCAAGUUGGUGAGCUACAGGCACUUAUGAAACUUGCUGCUAAAUAUGUCUGCACUAAUUGAUGUCACAUUAAAAGUGGUUUCCUCCGGCCUCUUUCUUUUGAUUUCCCCUGUGUUCCUUGGAGGUGUUUGAUGUUAAAGGCGGGAUUUAUGGGUCAAAGCACACCAAUGUAAAGGUUCUGUUUUUAAUAAGAUGUAGAUUCUAAACAGUCUGGCCUCUAAUAGUUCCGACAGUCUACAACUCCAGGUUAAAGGAAUGCAGCAGCAGCAUAAUUGCUGAUGAAAGAUUUAAAUGAUUGGUAGCUACUCAUCGCCUAGGACACCCAAGCCAUGGUCCAUCAAAAUGGGAAGCUGUGCAGGUGUGCUGGUCCCGGAAGGUUACCGUGUGGCGUGGUCCGAGUCCAGUCCGAGGUCGAGGGUGUGGUAUGGGGCUGUCCGUCAAGGCUGAAGCGGGGUCCAAGGCAAGGAGUCGGGUGAGGUCAGGAACUCUGGCAGAAGAGCAGGGCAGGGUGCCAGCAGGAACAGGUUACCAGCAAUGUUGCUUCCACAACCUGGGACUGGGCUGGCUGGCUUUUAUCUCCUCUGAGGCAUAGGGCAGCCCUGGUCCAUAGGUGACUCGCCUCUCCUGGCCUGGAGGCAAGCACUCCUCCUGCGAGAACUUAGUUCCCUCCGCCUCUCUGCCCUGAGCCUCUGUAGCUCAGGAGAGGCUGGAGGGUUACCGGACCCAGAGGCAACCUCACCUUCCCCUGACGGGGCUGAGAGUGGAGCACCUGCAGGCAAUGGGUCCUCAAUCACCUCCAGAGCCAGAGCAGAUUCAGCUGGUGCCUGCACCUGAGGAUCCAGCUCAGGUGAGGGCCCUUCAGGUUCAAGCCCCAGCCCCGGCUCAGCCGGUCCUGGAGGCGGGGACUCCUGUGCAGGCUGGGAUUCCUCAGGUUCAGCCUCUGAAUCUGAUUCCCAGGCCAUCACAGCAGGCACAGAACCUCAGCUCUGUUUCCCUAUUGCAUGUUGAUAGCAGCAUCUGGGCUUGAGGAGGCAUGUGGACCUCACCUGUCCUGAGACUAAUCCAGCUGAGGAAUCACACACCUCCUUCCAGAUCCAACCAGCCCCACCUGGCCAGUUAGUGAGCUGGGCUGUGUGCCCUUGCCUGUCUCAGCUUCCUAGAGUGUUCCUCCCAUUCCUCCCUAUGCCUUGGAGCCUGCUGUGUUUGUGGAGAUGGGGACACCUCCAGCUCUGGUACUGGGUCCCGCUUCUCUGGUGCCUGUGCACUGAUCCCCUUGCCAUCCUCUGACAUCCUGUGAGUACUUUCUAUGCCCCCAACCUCUUCCUCCUCCAUUCGCAGCUUGUUCUAAUGUGUACCAGUGGAGAUGGCAGUACUGAAUCGGUAGCUCGUGUCCUUCUGGCUUGCACUCUUUAUAAAGAUUUGAAGAGUGAGGUUAUCACCCCUCCAUUCCAGGUCGCCCAACCAUUGUUACAGUGUCCUUUCUCUUGGCAGAUCAAGAUGAGCAAGUGAAAGCAAAGGUUGCAAGGUUUUUAGUCGGGGCAAUUAGAAUAAGCUCCAUUAUUUGACUAUUGAUCCAAACCCCCAAAAUGUAUUUUAUAUAAUUGACUUUUUACCUUUAACCUCUGUAUACCACAUUUUGUUUGUUUUAUUGCUAUGGCUGGUGGCUGAUGCAAAUAAAGGUUCAUUCGUUCA
This is a long non-coding RNA of Podarcis raffonei (Aeolian wall lizard), 1877 nucleotides long. RefSeq lists it as uncharacterized. The transcript is spliced from 2 exons. The record is from RefSeq and is a predicted model, not a curated record. NCBI's taxonomy places the organism in Eukaryota, Metazoa, Chordata, Lepidosauria, Squamata, Lacertidae.